RNAcentral lists this ribosomal RNA (836 nucleotides) under uncultured bacterium. RNAcentral describes it as "bacterial SSU rRNA". It matches the Rfam family "Bacterial small subunit ribosomal RNA", at positions 60 to 863 of the family's 1533-position model. The record is from RNAcentral.
AGUCGACGGAAAGGCUUUUUAUGACGCUUCGGUUGAUUAAAAAGUACUCGAGUGGCGAAAGGGCGAGGAAUAUAUAGAUAACAUACCACUAGCUAAGGGAUAGCUGCGGGAAACUGCAGGUAAUACCUUAUAAGACCACGACAUCUACGGUUGUUGAGGUCAAAGGAGCGGGCUUCGGUGCUCCGGCUAAUGAGUGGUCUAUAUCCUAUCAGGUAGUUGGUGAGGUAAUGGCUCACCAAGCCUACGACGGGUACCGGGACUGAGAGGCUGAUCCGGCGCAUUGGGACUGAGACACUGCCCAGACUCCUACGGGAGGCUGCAGUAACGAAUAUUGGACAAUGAACGAAAGUUUGAUCCAGCGACGCCGCGUGCAGGACGAAGUCCUUCGGGAUGUAAACUGCUGUCAGGGACUACCAAGCAAAUAGGAGGAAAUGCCUAUAAGUUGAGGAAUCCCAGAGGAAGCCACGGCUAACUUCGUGCCAGCAGCCGCGGUAAGACGAAGGUGGCGAGCGUUAUUCGGAAUCACUGGGCUUAAAGCGCAUGUAGGCGGACUGUCAAGCGUCUUGUGAAAUCCCACGGCUUAACCGUGGAAUUGCUUGGCGAACUGGCAGUCUUGAGGCAGGUAGGGGCAACAGGAACUCUUGGUGGAGCGGUGGAAUGCGUAGAUAUCAAGAGGAACGCCAGAGGCGAAGGCGUGUUGCUGGGCCUGUACUGACGCUGAGAUGCGAAAGCGUGGGGAGCGAACAGGAUUAGAUACCCUGGUAGUCCACGCCCUAAACGAUGUCUACUAGGUCGGAGGUUCUCUGACGAAUUUCUGGCCGAAAUGAAAACGUUAA